RNAcentral lists this ribosomal RNA (447 nucleotides) under uncultured bacterium. RNAcentral's name for it is "bacterial SSU rRNA". It matches the Rfam family "Bacterial small subunit ribosomal RNA", at positions 355 to 825 of the family's 1533-position model. The record is from RNAcentral.
UGGGGAAUCUUGGACAAUGGGCGCAAGCCUGAUCCAGCCAUGCCGCGUGAGUGAAGAAGGCCUUCGGGUUGUAAAGCUCUUUUACCAGGGACGAUAAUGACGGUACCUGGAGAAUAAGCCCCGGCAAACUUCGUGCCAGCAGCCGCGGUAAUACGAAGGGGGCUAGCGUUGUUCGGAAUUACUGGGCGUAAAGCGCACGUAGGCGGAUUGUUAAGUCAGAGGUGAAAUCCCGGAGCUCAACUUCGGAACUGCCUUUGAUACUGGCAAUCUAGAGUCCGGAAGAGGUUAGUGGAAUUCCCAGUGUAGAAGUGAAAUUCGUAGAUAUUGGGAAGAACACCAGUGGCGAAGGCGGCUAACUGGUCCGGUACUGACGCUGAGGUGCGAAAGCGUGGGGAGCAAACAGGAUUAGAUACCCCCGUAGUCCCUGAGCGGGCUGGCAAGGCGCAU